UAGGGAAUCUUCGGCAAUGGACGAAAGUCCGACCGAGCAACGCCGCGUGAGUGAAGAAGGUUUUCGGAUCGUAAAACUCUGUUGGUAGAGAAGAACGUUGGUGAGAGUGGAAAGCUCAUCAAGUGACGGUAACUACCCAGAAAGGGACGGCUAACUACGUGCUAG
RNAcentral lists this ribosomal RNA (165 nucleotides) under uncultured bacterium. Its description in RNAcentral is "partial 16S rRNA". It matches the Rfam family "Bacterial small subunit ribosomal RNA", at positions 355 to 511 of the family's 1533-position model. The record is from RNAcentral.